RNAcentral lists this ribosomal RNA (253 nucleotides) under uncultured bacterium. RNAcentral describes it as "partial 16S ribosomal RNA". It matches the Rfam family "Bacterial small subunit ribosomal RNA", at positions 524 to 776 of the family's 1533-position model. The record is from RNAcentral.
UACGUAGGGUGCGAGCGUUAAUCGGAAUUACUGGGCGUAAAGCGUGCGCAGGCGGUUGUGCAAGACCGAUGUGAAAUCCCCGGGCUUAACCUGGGAAUGGCAUUGGUGACUGCACGGCUAGAGUGUGUCAGAGGGGGGUAGAAUUCCACGUGUAGCAGUGAAAUGCGUAGAUAUGUGGAGGAAUACCGAUGGCGAAGGCAGCCCCCUGGGAUAACACUGACGCUCAUGCACGAAAGCGUGGGGAGCAAACAGG